UAUCUAUUGGCCGGUAACAGUAUGUGGGAGGACCCAGACUGAGCAACAGACAAAAAUCAAAGCAGAGGAAGAGAUCCAGGACGAAUUACAGGCAUAUAAAAGCUGAUCUGAGGAUGGUAAGAUCCUUGAAGAGACAUAACAGUUUUCUCACACACAACGUUACUGAAUUCUCUUAGUGCCUCAGUGUUGGGACACAAUCAUGUCCCUUCCACUGGACCUGAGCUCCUUCCACAGGGAUGCUUCACUGGGCACGCUGGAGAAGCAGCUCAUCUGCCCCAUCUGCCUGGAGGUCUUUACCAAACCUGUGGUCAUACUGCCAUGCCAGCACAACCUCUGCCGCAAAUGUGCUAACGAACUUUACCAGCCUUCUCUGUUCCAGGUUGGGAUUGGAGGUCGUUUUCGGUGUCCAUCCUGUCGGCACGAAGUCGUUUUGGACCGUCAUGGUGUUUAUGGGCUCCAGAGGAACCUUCUAGUGGAAAAUAUCAUUGAUGUCUACAAGCAAGCAUCUGCAAGUUGUAGGCCUCCACCGAAACCACUGGCACAAAUAAACUGUGAAGAACACGAAGGGGAGAAGCUGAACAUUUACUGCAUCACCUGUCAGAUCCCCACGUGUUCACUCUGUAAAGUGUUUGGAGCACAUAAGUCCUGUCAGGUGGCUCCCGUCUCUGAUGUAUAUCAACAGCAAAAGACCGAACUCAGUGAUGGGAUUGGAUCCCUGGUUGCCACUAAUGAGUGCAUCCAAGCUUGCAUAAAUGAUCUGGAGGAGAUCUGUAGGAGUGUUGAGGAAAAUAGCAGAAACCAAAAGCAGAUACUGUGUGAGAAGUUCGACCGUAUGUGUGGUAUCCUGGAAGAAAGACGUAAGAUUAUGUUACAGCGAAUCACAUAUGAGCAGGAUGAAAAGACAAGCUGGGCCCAAAGCUUGGUACAUACCUACAGUGAGCAUGUUGACACAAACUCAAAGUUGGUGCAGACUGCCUUGAACGCCAUGGAAGAGCCAGAGAUGGCUGCAUUUCUUCAGACCUCAAAAAACCUCAUUGAACAGGUCAGCGAGGCAACUAAAUCUGCUCCAUUGCAGACCUUACAGCCUGGAUAUGAAAACAUGGAUCACUAUAAGGUUGAUUUUAAUGCUGAGGAGAGGGCUCUCUACCAGCUAGAUUUCAUCAAACCUGAAGAGGAGGUUGAAGAGCCUCCAGAAGAACCAGCACCAGAACCUGAGCCAGAAGUGUUACCAGAACCUGAACCUGAGCCUGAAUAUGAACCAGUGCACAGUCUGGUAGAGAGCUCUGAGCCAGACAAUGAACUGAAGUUGGAAAACUAUGAGAUAAAGAAUGUUUUAUCUGAGACGAAGGAGGAAAACCAGUUACAAGUAGAGGGAUGUUCAGCGAGACCAAAAGAUGUCAUAUGUGAGAAAAGUGGACUGAACACCCAACAGGACCAGACAGAGUUAGGGUGUGAGGGGCAUGAUUCAGGAAUCCACUGCUUAACUUCAGAAGCAGGUGAAGAGACUAAGCUCUACCCCACUUGGUAUAGACCCAACAACAGGCCAAUGCUUAGCCAAAGCCAAGCAACACCUACUGAUGCCUUGGGGGUUCCUGGCCAUAUACCCAAACUCAUGAGUGAACCCUCAUGUCAGUUCCACCAGACAGACACACCUCUGUCCAUGUGGAUAAGUGGCAGCCUUAUGCCUCUGUCUAAUGAGAACCAGGCCCAACUCGGAAGAGGCUCACUAGAGAGCACCCAACCAUAUAUGUCAGAGGUUGAGAAGAAUAUUUGUUCUGAGUUGGUCAGUGGGCCUGCCAACAAGGAUAGCAUGACUUCUAUAUCUCCACAGGCCAUCAUCCAUAUAUUUUACGUCCUGGCCUUACUCUUCAUCCUCCAGAGAGUAUGGGGGAACAUUCAGUGCCUUUUUUGCAUAUAGCACGGCUGGGGAAUUACAGAUUUCAGGGUGAACCCUGCUCAAUGGGAGCCCAGGACAACAGAGAGAUGGAUCAGAGCACUGAUACAAGCUUUCACAACUACUCUGAUGCCCCAAUGUGGUAGACAGACAGAAGCAAGCAAGCAUACAAACAGUUAGUCAGCCUGCAGCUGCAGAUCACUCAGCGGUGGGAGCCAGCUCUCCUACUGUUACAAGUGAGCCGGCUCGUAUCAGCUUCUCCUUCUCCUGGCUGAAUCCACUUGCCAAGAAGAAAUGAAUGCUCCUCUUAGAGAGAAGCCAUCAGGUCCACAAGCCAUUUUCUUCAGCUGGCCAUAACGUACAGGCUUUACCUCAGGGCAAACUGAAUGUUGUCCAGUAGGCCCACUACCACUCCUGCUGUAAUUUGUAAAAGAUGUAUGCACCAGCUAUAAGUACAUAACAGAUCAGUUCCACAUAUAUGCUUUUACUUGUUACACAUAGCCUUGAUUAUUACAAACUAUAUGGAUAUAAAUUCUAAAAUAGCUGCCUGAGAUAGAAAGAACUUCAUGUAUGAAAUUGUUGGUUAUGAGAAAGACUUAGUGUUUAGAUAUAUUUCUACAUUGGUUUGGUUGUGACUUGAAGGUUGAAGUCAUACUGUAGUGCAGUAUUGAAGUGGUGCUGAUGGCAUAGCUGUGAAAGUGUUGCAUUAGUAAAAAUGUGGCAACACUUGUUUGUUGGACUGUUUAUGUGUUUAUUUUCAAUAUCUAUUACAGGUCACAUACACAUUAAGCAAUACUUAAUGAUGAAUGUGAAAAAUAAAACAUACUGACAACUGUU
RNA transcript from Pangasianodon hypophthalmus (striped catfish), 2731 nucleotides. It is a transcript of the gene named tripartite motif containing 101, with no coding region annotated. The transcript has 12 exons. NCBI's taxonomy places the organism in Eukaryota, Metazoa, Chordata, Actinopteri, Siluriformes, Pangasiidae. The record is from RefSeq and is a predicted model, not a curated record.